Drosophila hydei is the source of this 1163-nucleotide RNA transcript. It is a transcript of the gene named bax inhibitor 1, with no coding region annotated. NCBI's taxonomy places the organism in Eukaryota, Metazoa, Arthropoda, Insecta, Diptera, Drosophilidae. The record is from RefSeq and is a predicted model, not a curated record. The transcript is spliced from 5 exons.
AUGGCGGAUACGGCACAAUAUAUAAACGAACGUUUCCAACGUUUUAUGCACGGCAUCGGCGAACGCUAUGAGCCAUUCAUCCGUCAGCACCUGUCCAAAGUUUAUAUGGUGCUGGCUAGCACUACCGCUGCUUCGGCAGUGGGCGCCCUGCUCCAAAUGCGUGGAACUUUCGAUUUGGGCAUGUUAGCAGCUAUCGCUUCAUUGGUGCUGGUUCUGGGUCUACACUUUUAUAAAGACGACGGCAAAAACUAUUACACGCGCUUGGGAAUGCUUUAUGCCUUUGGCUUUUGUUCGGGGCAAACAUUGGGUCCCUUGUUGGACUACAUUUGCAGCAUCAAUCCGGCGAUUAUCCUAACUGCACUAACUGGGACUUUUGUCACGUUUGGUUCUUUGUCGCUAGCCGCUCUGCUUGCCGAACAGGGCAAGUAUUUGUAUCUGGGUGGUAUGCUGGUUAGCGUUAUAAACUGCAUGGCUUUGCUCAGUCUAUUCAACAUGAUCUUUAAAUCAUACUUUGUCCAAAUUACUCAAUUAUACGUUGGCGUCUUUGUUAUGGCUGCCUUCAUAGUGUACGACACCCAAAACAUUGUCGACAAAUGCCGCUUGGGCAACCGCGAUGUUGUACAGCAUGCAUUGGAUCUUUUCUUCGACGUGUUGAGCAUGUUCCGCCGUUUGUUAAUUAUCUUAACGCAAAAGCUCAAGAGUUUUAUGGUUUGAGAGUUUGGUUUGUCAAUGCAGUUUAGCGACCAAGCCAAUGAAUAACCUUGAUCUGACUACUUAUAUCAAUCAAUAUCUUUAAUUAUAUUGCAAAGAAAUAUUCUUUAAUAUUCAAUCGCAACGGAGGAGCAAAAGCAAAACGAUCGUCGUAAAAAGAAGUAAUAAAAAACUUGAUCAACUGACAAAUUUCAAAUUAUUUACGUUGGAAACAAUUUUAAAUUCCAAAUGAAAGGGAAAUUAAUCUUUAUAUUAUAUAUAUUACACCAAAUACAACUGUACACAAAUUGUAGUAUUUGGUACACAUGAAAACCAUGCAAAUCCCGACCUAAAUGCCAUCUAAUAAAAUUCAGUUCAUUCAAAUGAUCUUAAAUGUAAUUCUUAUGGCCUUAUGCUAUUGAACGAUUUUUAAUAAAGCCCCAAGGUAUAUAUCUGGAUGUUGUGUUAAGUUU